AUUGAACGCUGGCGGCAGGCCUAACACUUGCAAGUCGAGCGGAUGAAGGGAGCUUGCUCCUGGAUUCAGCGGCGGACGGGUGAGUAAUGCCUAGGAAUCUGCCUGGUAGUGGGGGAUAACGUCUGGAAACGGGCGCUAAUACCGCAUACGUCCUGAGGGAGAAAGUGGGGGAUCUUCGGACCUCACGCUAUCAGAUGAGCCUAGGUCGGAUUAGCUAGUUGGUGGGGUAAAGGCCUACCAAGGCGACGAUCCGUAACUGGUCUGAGAGGAUGAUCAGUCACACUGGAACUGAGACACGGUCCAGACUCCUACGGGAGGCAGCAGUGGGGAAUAUUGGACAAUGGGCGAAAGCCUGAUCCAGCCAUGCCGCGUGUGUGAAGAAGGUCUUCGGAUUGUAAAGCACUUUAAGUUGGGAGGAAGGGCAGUAAGUUAAUACCUUGCUGUUUUGACGUUACCAACAGAAUAAGCACCGGCUAACUUCGUGCCAGCAGCCGCGGUAAUACGAAGGGUGCAAGCGUUAACCGGAAUUACUGGGCGUAAAGCGCGCGUAGGUGGUUCAGCAAGUUGGAUGUGAAAUCCCCGGGCUCAACCUGGGAACUGCAUCCAAAACUACUGAGCUAGAGUACGGUAGAGGGUGGUGGAAUUUCCUGUGUAGCGGUGAAAUGCGUAGAUAUAGGAAGGAACACCAGUGGCGAAGGCGACCACCUGGACUGAUACUGACACUGAGGUGCGAAAGCGUGGGGAGCAAACAGGAUUAGAUACCCUGGUAGUCCACGCCGUAAACGAUGUCGACUAGCCGUUGGGAUCCUUGAGAUCUUAGUGGCGCAGCUAACGCGAUAAGUCGACCGCCUGGGGAGUACGGCCGCAAGGUUA
RNAcentral lists this ribosomal RNA (873 nucleotides) under uncultured Pseudomonadales bacterium. RNAcentral describes it as "bacterial SSU rRNA". It matches the Rfam family "Bacterial small subunit ribosomal RNA", at positions 28 to 896 of the family's 1533-position model. Lineage: Bacteria; Pseudomonadati; Pseudomonadota; Gammaproteobacteria; Pseudomonadales. The record is from RNAcentral.